RNAcentral lists this ribosomal RNA (254 nucleotides) under uncultured bacterium. RNAcentral's name for it is "partial 16S ribosomal RNA". It matches the Rfam family "Bacterial small subunit ribosomal RNA", at positions 524 to 776 of the family's 1533-position model. The record is from RNAcentral.
UACGUAGGGUGCGAGCGUUGUCCGGAUUUAUUGGGCGUAAAGGGCUCGUAGGCGGCGUGUCGCGUCGGGAGUGAAAGACCGGGGCUUAACCCCGGUUCUGCUUCCGGUACGGGCAUGCUGGAGUGUGGCAGGGGAGACUGGAAGUUCCUGGUGUGGCGGUGGAAUGCGCAGAUAUCAGGAGGAACACCGGUGGCGAAGGCGGGCCUCUGGGCCAUUACUGACGCUGAGGAGCGAAAGCGUGGGGAGCGAACAGG